UACGGGGGGGGCAAGCGUUUGUUCGGAAUUACUGGGCGUAAAGGGCUCGCAGGCGCCGACUAAGUCAGACGUGAAAUCCCUUGGCUUAACCAAGGAAUGGCGUCUGAUACUGGACGGCUUGAAUCCGGGAGAGGGAUGUGGAAUUCCAGGUGUAGCGGUGAAAUGCGUAGAUAUCUGGAGGAACACCGGUGGCGAAGGCGGCAUCCUGGACCGGUAUUGACGCUGAGGAGCGAAAGCCAGGGGAGCAAACGGG
This 253-nucleotide ribosomal RNA is filed under the name uncultured bacterium. RNAcentral describes it as "partial 16S ribosomal RNA". It matches the Rfam family "Bacterial small subunit ribosomal RNA", at positions 524 to 776 of the family's 1533-position model. The record is from RNAcentral.